GGACACUAUUUUUUAAACAUUUUAAAAUAUAUAUGAUAAUUUUAGAGGAUUUUCUAUAUUUAAUUUUAGAAGAUUAGAGCAGACUCAUGGCAGGAUUAUGAGCACAUAAGGUUCUAGUCAGGAACCUUUGUGAAUCAAAGUUUUGUAAAAUUAUUAUUUUAUUGUACCUACUACGUAUGAUCUGUGAAGAAGAUGACCUGUGUCCUAGCAACAAAGGGACAUGUACCUGGUCCAUGUUCAAGAAGGGAAAUGGAAAUGGCUUUUCUUUAAACAGUCCACAAGUUGAGCCAACCCCUCAGUAACCAGCCACUGAUAGCCUUUGGUAAAUUGUUAUUCUGGGCUCUGGUUUUCUCUGUCAUUAGCAGCAAGCUGGUAACCUUGGCCCUUGUAUUACCAAAGGAAGCAAGAAUCAGGUCAAAUCUUGAAUGACACCAGACAAGGUAGAACUCAUGAAAGGUGAAGGGAAGAGAUGUUGACCAAGUCAGGGAAACCUUAAGAGGGUCUGUGGUGUGUGUUAGUCAAGGCUCUCUGGGAGUCCUUUAUGGUAUUAUAGUGACAUUGUCCUAACUCAGUUUGUGGACAGGAGUUAUUGUUUUAAUGAGUGUCUUUGUAUACAUUCCUAUAGAAUGUAAAAUUGUGCUUGUCUUUUACAUAUACUUCCUGGCACCUAGAAGAUGGUAUAGUUUAUUUUUUAUAAGAGUGUACCUAAUUGGAGGUAAUACAUAUGCAAUCAAAAUCUAAUUUUUAGAAAAAAAAUUAAAAAUGUAAAAAUGGGGCACAUAGACUGAAUUUCAAAUAGAAUGAAUUCUUUGACUUCCUGCUGCACUCAUUAGCCAUUGGGCACACAUUAUUCAUAUCCUGUUACAUGGCCACAUAUCAGUAUAUAUACAUUUACAAAAUAGGCAAAAGUCCCUGUAAUGGUUGGGGGAGGAGACAGGAGGUCAUAGCUUAAAAGAAAGGCAUUUCCACUAAUACUAAGCAGGUAGCUCUUGGAUGGGAAAAUAUCAUUCGUUUUGUAUGUGAAAAAGAAUACACAUGAGAGCUGAAGGAUGCUAGUUAUGUCUAGUUAUUCAAAAGAGCAACAAAGAGUCAGGAGCCAGAUUCAUUCAGAGGAGAAAAUAUGUUCUGGAAUAAAAAAGAUGAACUUUAUACUCUAGCUAUCCAUAUGGCAUGUAAGGCUUUGGCCACAUUAUUUAAAUAGGAAAAUUUUUUUAAAUGAUAGUUUUUUGUUGUUGUUGUUGUUUUUAGUUCGUUAUAAUUAGAAGAGAAUGUAUUAAAAUACCUGGUCUGUGGCAGAUACUAGUCGAUAAACUGAAAACAAUAUUCACUUAUUCAACAUUUAUCAGUUUCUGAGUUUGCUCUUGGUGUUUACUUUAUAAUCCCUUCCCCAAACAAAUGAAACAGUAAAAUGAAGUCAGCUUGCAGGUCACAGAGCAAAUUAGAGGCAAAGAUAGGCCUAGAGUUGUCCAGUAUUUCCACAAGAGCUAUUUUUUCCUCUCUUUUCCAAAGACUGAAGAUUCUUGCUCCUGCCACACACACCCUCCCCUGUCCUGGAGAGAAAGUAAUAAAUUCCAACUGGGGGCAAGCCUUUCUUUGGCUCACCCUCAUCUGCUCACCUCUUCUGUCCAGCAGCCUGCCCACAUCUGCACCACUGCCACUGUCUCCAUGGGGUCAGGAUCUGUUCUGUGUGAUGCCCCCAGGCUCCUUUUCACAUUCCUGGGCCAUGAGGGGUCUGCCUCCUGAGUCCUGUGCAAUUGCCUGGUACCCCCACCUCCACCUCCUCCUGCACUUUCUUUCUUGUGCUUCCACACCUCAGGAGUUGUGUUGUUUACAAUCUGUUGUUUAAACUAAGUUUGCAUUUUAACCCUAAAGAUUAUUGGAUGGUAUCUUGGUUUGGAGUGCUUUUGAUCUCCCUCUUCUAGAUUAUUCAAAAGGGGCUUUUAAGAGGAACCUUAAAAGUCUGUUCUGAGGAUAAUUCCAGUAAUGCCUCCUACUUAUGUUGGUAGAGAAUGCUCCCACUGUUGGUCAAGAAGUCAAUUUUGUUUGUUUCUGGUGUCAUCAUCAGUAUGUUGUUUAUCUAAGAGCAAAUUGAUUAAUUAAUCCUUCAUUCCAUUUGUUUAAUUUAGUUGUAUAAAAUAUAAUUUUAAGAAAAUAUUUUGAUUAAUUGCAUGAGAGAUAUAUAGGUGUAAAAUGUUUAUUUGCUAUGCUAGUUGCUUGUAGUUCUGUGCAAACAGUGUAAGUUGUCAUCCCUCUGUACAGCCAUUUUUUUUUUUAAACUAGGAAAAAAAUUACUACAUUAUAUUUCAGGUCAAGAUUCAUUCUUUGAAAUAACAGUGCAGAGAAUAACUAACAAAGAAAAAUGCCUUACUUUUUUUUAAAACUGGGAAUCAAACAUUCCCAGUCUUUCCCCCCCUCACAUUUUUUUAAUUGGUGCCUUAUAGUUGUAGAUGAUGGUGGGAUUUGUCAUUACAUAUUUGCACAUGCACACAUAUAACAACAUAUUUUGGCCAAUAUCAAUCCAGUCAUUUUUAUUUAUUUUUUAACUUUAAGACAAAGUCUCCCUAAAUUGCUGAAGCUGGCAUUAAAUGUGUGAUCCUCUUGCCUCAGGCACCACAGUCAUUGGGAUUACCUGUAUGUACCACCACACCCAGCUCUUAGGGAUAGUUUUUAACUUAAUCAACGUAUGCAGGGUGCUAAGUAUAAGUACAAUGAUGGUGAUGGUUCUGGGGCAUUGUUAGGGGAGAUUUCAUACAUGUCUAAGGUCUUUGCUCUAGAAGCCUUUCUCUAAAAAUAUAAUAGUAAGAAGAGACUUCUCCACUGACUUCCUAACAGAGCUCUUGUGGGGGCUACCUGGGCCACCAUUAGGGUCCCUACCUUUGUUGUCAGUAUUCCUAUUCCUGCUCACAUUGUGCUAUCCUGGAGACCUGGUGGGGGCAGGGAAGGGGGUUGGCUUCUAAUGACAGUAUGGAUGUUCCAAGUUCUAACUUUAGGCCUACACUGCACCUUUGGGCUUUGGGGGCUGGGUCUUUCUGAGUUUAUCUGCCUCUUCCCCCAGAACAGCCAAACUUAAUUGCAUUUGUUGGAGAAGGGGUUGUAGGUGGGAGGGAGUUUCCUUGUCAAGAGAAAAGUAAGGCUUCCUGGCAUACAGAAUUUGAGCUUAAGGGGACAUCCUGCCUCUCCCUCUGCACUGAGGGGCUUUUGCUUCCUUUGAGAGCAGACCUGGUGAUGCUGGUGGGGUUUGUGCAGUCUCCUACUCUGCCUACUGAUUUUCUCAUGAGCACCUUGUGGAGGCCUGUGGAGAAGAACUUGCAUGUGAGGAUGAAAUUCCACUUAUUCUAAACCGUCUUGGUACCCACAUGUACCCAUCAGUAAAUUAUUACAAUAUUAGUGUUUUCUUCUAUGGAGACUGCCUUCUGCUUUGCCAAAGGCAAAAAAGCAUGUAGCACCCUUUCAGAGUUUCUUGGCUGUCUUUGAGAUUUGGUAUACACAGAGACUUUUGGCCUCCUUUCUUAAAUAAGCUAAAGAAAAUUAGGAUUUUGUAGAUUACCUGGCAUUUUCUUGUUAUCAGGUUGGGAGCAACUGUAUUUUAGACUUUCUUCAUUCAUUGGAAGUGAAGUUCCAUAAAUCCAUUAGGGAAAGGAAAGUCUUCAAGAAAUGAGGCUUGAACUCUUUGAUAUGUGUAUAUGGAGGAAAAAUGAAAUAAGAAAGAAAAGGAGUGAGGGAGGGAGGGAGGAAGGAAGUAAGAAACAGCCUUACUUCACAUAAUAUUCAGAAUUGAUUAGAGACAGACUGUAGAGUAAAUGGAAAAACAACAACACCAAAACAAAACAACAACAAAAAACUCCAUAACUUCCUGAAGAAAAACUUAGGGAAAGAAUACCAUAAUUUGGGAUGUAAGCAAAGGAUUCUUGGAUGGGAAAUAGAAGGCAAUCUCCUCAAGGAAAAAAAUCCUAAUUAUUUAUGAUUUUAUCAUAAAUUAAAACUUCAUCAAAAUGUAAUACUAAGAAAAUGUAUAGACAGGUAAUAUUAGGUGAACAUAUUCUCAAAUUGUACAUCUAGAAUUAAAGAAGUAUUUGGGAUAUAAAAAUUACCCAUACACAUCAAUACUAAAUUUUUAAAAAAUUAAAUUAAAAAUAAAAAAAUAAAUGUUAAAAAACAAAAAAUAAGCCAAGAAUUUCAACAUAUAUUUUAUAAAAUUUAAAUGGCUAGUAAGCACCUUAAAAAAUGUGCACAUUAUUCAUAAUCAGGGAAAAAUUAAGUAAAAUCCACUGGUUUUUCUAAAAAGUAAGAUGAUUAACAACACCAAGAGCUGAUGAAGAUGUGUCAUGGGUGACAAAAAAACUUUCCUGUAUUCUUUAUUAAUGAGAAGACAAAACCUUCCCUUUGUGAAGGUCUGGCCAUUUUAAUAAGACUAAAUAUAAAGCUAUCCUCUGGCUCAGGUCUUCACUCUUCUAGACAUUUAACCAAAAGAACUGAAAGAUUAUGUUUACCAAGAUACUUGUACAUGAUGUCUCAUACCACUUUAUCCAUACCCAUCAAAAGCUGGACCCUGCUCAGGAGUCCAUCAGUGGGAGUUUUGGUAUUAUGGGAUAUGAUGCUGCUCACCACAGAAAGAGCAUGCAUCCACCUUGAGUUGGUCUCAGAAAGCAGACUGAGGGAAGAAGCUUUGUCUACAAGAAUUUCUGCAGCAUUCAGGCUCAGUGGCUCAUUCUUGUAAUCCCAGGGGCUCAGGAGGCUGAGGUAGGAGGUUUACAAGUUCAAAACCAGCCAGAGUAACUAAGCAAGGACCUAUGCAAUUUAGGGAGACACUGUCUCUAAAUAAUAAACAUAAAUAGGGCUGGGAUGUGGCUCAGUGGUUAAGCACCUCUGGGUUCAAUCCCUGAUACCAAAAAUAAGCAAGUAAAUAAAUAAAUAUAUCCACAGCAAAAUUCAAAUAGCUUCAGCUCUAGAACACUUACAACUGAUGUUUAGUGAAAUAACUAGCAUGCCAGUUGCUUGUGGUGGGAAUGACUAGAAAUGGGACUUGGAAGAAGCAUUAGGGAGUUCCCCAAGUGGCUGGCAAUUUCCAUAGCUGGAUAGAGGUUUAGGUCACACAGCCAAUUACAUUUGUCUAAACCAAUUGACUAGCAUACUUAAUGCUGUGCAUUUAACUUUCUGCAAAUCCAGCCCCAUCAAGAUAGACAGAGAAACCAUAAGCAAAUAUCAAACUGCAGUUAAUGAUGUGCAAGCUGCAGUGUUAGAGGGGAAGUAUUCCAAGGUAUGCACUUUGAAACUGAGAAAAGGAGGAAGAGGAAGGAAGAAGGGGGAAGGAGGGACAAAUGAAUGGAUGGGUGGAUGGGUAGUGGUCUGUAUACAUGAUAGACAUGCCAUGAGGCAAAUCCACUAAAAUGAUAAUUGUAGAGUCUGGGUGAUAAAUGGGAAUGAUUGCAAACCCUUUAAACUUCUCUGCAUAUUUGAAAAUGUUUUUAGUAAAACACUGGGUGGGGCAUAGGCUAGAACAGGAAAUAUAGGAGUUGUACGUUAUCAGAUCUGGCUCCUAAUUCUGAAACCUAAUAGCUGUGUGAGCUUGGACAAGUCACCUGGUAUCUAUUAGCCUCAGUUUCCUAUGCUAUAAGAUGGGUCAAUAACAAUGUUUACUGCUGACAAUGUCUUCUCCCCUGAACACCCCCCAGGCACUUUUCAAUGUUAGCUGAAGUAUUGCUCCUAUUCCUAUGGAUUGCUCUGCUUUACAGAUCAGAAUUGAAGGUGAAAGAGAGAGAGAGAGAAAAGAAUAUUCAAGAAGUCUGUCACCUUAC
RNAcentral lists this long non-coding RNA (5795 nucleotides) under Marmota monax (woodchuck). The record is from RNAcentral. Lineage: Eukaryota; Metazoa; Chordata; Mammalia; Rodentia; Sciuridae.